CGGAGCGCGGCGGCGGAGCCACGGGGGGACUCGCACCGGGGAUGGAGUUGGCCCUAUUCAGCACUGACAUUCCCGGAGCCCGGCAGAUCCAAACUCAUUAAGGCGGAUAACACCGCCGCUGUUUGUUGUGACACUGUUUGUGUGAGUGACGAGCGAAGGGUUAACUCCAGGGAAUUGGGAAUACUGCCUGGCUGCUAAUAACACGUGAGUCACCGCCGGAAUAACACAUGGGUGCAGGGAGAGACACAGCACCCAACUGCACAGCAGCCCUCUGCCUUCAGGGUCGGGGUUUGCCGCCUGCAACGACCCCAAAUCCGGGCAGGGGGAGGGGGUCAGCUGCUGGGGUCGAGCCCCGCAGCACGGAAUUACCACACCCCCGAACCCAUCAGCUCCAUCCCCGCACCCCGACGGGAUGGGGGUCACAGGGAUGGGGGACGGGGAGGGGACAGAGACCUGCACGCAUCGCUCCCACCUCCUGGAAACCACGCGGAGAGGAGCAGCCCUGCGCUCCAGCCCGGUCAGCAGAGGAAUCUGCACACGCAGACAGGAUCGCUGCAAUCGCUGGUGGCUGAGGAUGAUUCCGACACGAGGAGGAUCCCUCCGUCCUCGCCUCGCCGGGUUUUGCACCGUGUGGAUAUUGCGAGGCCGCCUAUGGCUGCACCUGCCCCUAUAUACAUUGCUAUACCUGCCCCUAUAUAUUGCUAUACCUGCCCCUAUACAUUGCUAUACCUGCCCCUAUACAUUGCUAUACCUGCCCCAUAUACAAUGCUAUACCUGCCCCACACAUAUCCCUGUACCUGCCCCUAUAUAUACUGCUGUGCCUGCCCCAUGUGCUGCUGCACCUGCCCUGCACGUGCAUUGGGACGGAGGGUCGGGUCGGCUGCUGUGCCCAGAAGGUCGCGUGGAAAACAUUCCUUUGCAAGCAAGGAUGGGUUAGAAUGUAAAAGAUUUAUUAAUUUAAUCCGAAGCAUUAAAAGGUCAUGUAUUAAUCAAA
Molecule: long non-coding RNA, 994 nt
Organism: Gallus gallus (chicken)
Lineage: Eukaryota; Metazoa; Chordata; Aves; Galliformes; Phasianidae
Exons: 3
Source: RefSeq, a predicted model, not a curated record